AGUCGUCUGCUUACUCGUCAUACAAAAGUAGCAAGUAUUCAGAAGGAUUUAAAGUCAUGUAGCCGCUGUUGUAGUAAAGUAUGUACGAAGAAAUUCUCUCUUUUGGAGGUAAAAAACAUGCGAUUGGAAUUCUGGUCAAAGACAAUAAAUGGUCGAAACCAGUGGAUAUUAAAAAAGUUCUCUGAAACUAAUGUGGAGUAAACACCAUACUUCCGUAUACAGAACGGACAUGUAGUUUGUCCAAAGGCAUUGAUGAGAAUGCUUGGAAUUCACAAAAAUUUCUAUUACUCUUAUAGAAAAAAGUUCAUAGAAGGAACACGUUUUUCUGUAUCGGAGAGACACUACUGUGGCAGCAUAAAAUCACUGCAAGCUAUAAACUGGCUGGAAGAAUACGCUACAUAUUACGUUGACAGGAUACUGAAAUACACUCUUACUACCUUAUCGGACACGACAGUGCAUGAUUUAUAUAAGAUAUAAAGAAGAUAUGAAGGAAAGAUCAGAAAAUUUUUUAAUGCCAUCAGCCUUCUGCGGAAUAUGGAAAAAAUAUUUACCCAAUCUUAAAGUCAAAAAGACCAAUUCCUUUUCGAAGUGCACAGUAUGUACAAGUUUGGAAAGACAGAUAGAGAUCACACAUGAUGCAGUGAUAAGAGAUAAAUUGCAAGCUGAACGAAGAGAACACAAUAGCAGACAGAUGUUAGAAAGAAAGUACUAUUACACCAAGAAAAACGCUGCAAAGACAUCCCCAUCAAAAUAUUUAAGCUUGAUUAUAGAUGGAAUGG
This is a long non-coding RNA of Mytilus californianus (California mussel), 779 nucleotides long. RefSeq lists it as uncharacterized. The transcript has 3 exons. Lineage: Eukaryota; Metazoa; Mollusca; Bivalvia; Mytilida; Mytilidae. The record is from RefSeq and is a predicted model, not a curated record.